Neodiprion virginianus is the source of this 3921-nucleotide long non-coding RNA. RefSeq lists it as uncharacterized. NCBI's taxonomy places the organism in Eukaryota, Metazoa, Arthropoda, Insecta, Hymenoptera, Diprionidae. The transcript is spliced from 4 exons. The record is from RefSeq and is a predicted model, not a curated record.
ACAAAUACACAAAUAUAAAUACGCGUCAUGGUAUACAUAUUAUAUAUAAGAUAAAAAUGUAGUACUACAUAUACAUUAUAUAUUGUAGCGUAGCGACGGUAAAACAAAAUAAUAUAAUAUACAAUAUAAUAAUGAAUAAAAAACGUAUAUAUACCAUAAGCUACACACGCAUGCGCGCGUCCACAUACAUAUUAAUGCAAGGCAUUUUGAAGACCAUCGUUGACUAUUUUGCGAAUACACUGUGAAUGGAUCACAAUGACAUUCAGGAAUACUAACAGAUAUCUGUUCUCUGCUUCCAUUCCCUGGUUAACAAAUCAUCAGUGAUUUUCUUUGACAUCUCGUAUGACGAAUUCGUAAAAUUACUGAGGUACAUCACCUUACUUUUCUAAAUACUGACGGCUUAAUAGGUUUCUUAGAUGACCGUAAUUACGGAUUCUGGUUGAAAGAUUAUCUAUAAAAAAAAAUGGCCUAAUUAACUAAGGUUGGAGAAAUUGUUGGAUUACAGUCCUCUAUGAUAUGACGAGGAUUCUCUAUGAGAGUAGCUUCUUCUUAAAGCAGUCCUAUUUAUUGUUCGUCGUUAUUCCAUGGAUGAUAUUUUCUAGAAAUGAUAGUAGUAAUGCUAUAGAUAUCUCCUCUUUAAAAUGCCUUGUGUUUAUAAGAAGAAAUUAAUGUAAUGACAUAAAACAAAUUAAAUUAUAUACAAUGAUUCAUGAAAAGAGAAGAAAAUGACAUUUAGAAUGCAUCACUACGCAUGUAUAAUACACUUACAUAUAUUAUACACAUAUUCUAUUAGAUAUCAGAAUGAGAAACCAACCAUUGUGAAGUGAUACACGAAUACAAUAUAAAUUAUAUGCAUACAAUGCCUAAAAUAGACCGCGACUAUAUGCAUAUGCGUAUGUAUAUAUGUUACCAUACAUGAUCAUAUUUAUAUAUUAUGUAUGAAAAGAGAAGAACAUGAAAAUAAAAUGAACAGUCGAUACUAGAAUUAUAUGCAUGAAAUAGUGUGCACAAUACACAUAUCCAUACGCAUAAUGAACUGUAGCAGGCGAUAAAAACUCGGCGAACAACACACGUAAAAGACAUUGUAAAACUGCAUUGCGUAUGGUAAAAAUAAACAUUUAGAAAAGUAAUUUAUAUGUCUCUUAUCAACAUUAUCCCGUUUUGUGAAAAAGCUCUUCUAUCGCGUGCACUCGUUCAGGCGACAAUUUUAAGCGGGAAACGCACAUGAUUAUAGGGAUUCUUGUCCUCUUUGAUAUUAUAUUACUUUGCUAAAGUUAUGUUUCGGAUAUCAUGUAAUGAAAACAUUUCAUUGAGUCACGUAGGAUCUAAGUAAAUUGAUUUAGAGUUGUUGAAAAUCUCAAAAUUUUACGACGUAAAUUCAAAGGGGUCUUCAGCCUCCUUUUUCAAGAUUUUUCGAGCGAAAAACUUUUUAUCUCAGAAUCUAUUCGUACCACCAUUUCUAGACUAGUUGCAAAGGGCCAGCAACAAAAAAAUUACGAAAGGAAGUCUUUUGCUUUUUGGCUGUAACUCUUGAUCCGUUAUCCGUAGCAAAUUUGGACUGCACGCAAUCGGUUUCUCGCAAAAUUCUGUAGAUGUGCAUCAAAUAAUUGUUUCCAGCAAUUUUUAAAGUCGCACAAAUUUUCAACAAAAAUCCAAAGGGGUUAGCCUUACUCUAUUUUUAUGCAAAAAAUCCUUCGUCUCAGAAUCAAUUUGUUUGACCCUUUUCAGAGUAAUAAAAUCCCGAGAAACAUAUAUUUAAAACUUAUAAUCUUACGAUUAAUUUCAAAACUAGCCGAGCAUUAGAAAAAUGUAAGGGAGUACGCUCGGAGCGUCCCUAUUAUUCUGUCACCGCAGAUAGCAACAUUGUAUCGUUCUUCAUUGAGCCACAAAAAAAGCCAUUUAUGGACUUGGAUUGGCUGACUAACCAGUGAGUAUGAAUAAUUUCAUUCAAACCUUAUUGAAUGGUAUAAAAACUUAAACCGCGUUUUUAUCGAACCUAUGCUUUUCAGAUCGGCAGCCACGAUAUCUCGAUAACACAUUGGCCAAUUGAGCUUAGAUUUUUUUAGACUGUUUUCCACGUUGGUAGCAGAAAUGAUUCUAAAUAAUAUUUCUGUUUUUUAUACAACUCCUAGAAUGGUCAGAAAUGGGAAAAAUUGAUAAUCAAAGUUUAGCCCUGUUAUAAAAUUUUUAUUUUCGUUUGCUGAAUCUGGUACCAACCAUACACAGUCAUACAAAUUAAGAAUAUGUUUGGUUUUUACCAGAUUCAUACAACGUUCGUUUGUUUUAUUUCUAUAUAUUCUUGAAAGAUCGAUAAAUAGGUGUACAAAACUUCAGAACGCAAACUCAAACAAUUUGAAAUCCAUUCCAUCCUAAAAAUCACCUCCAAAACAACUCUCCAGACAUCAAUAUCCCCUUAGGCGCCGCUGAACUGGCUUACAUUUUUACAUUCCGGACGUCACGAGCACUUACAGCGCCCCUAGAUGGUCAACGUUGAUCUAAAUGACAUGAUUCGAUUGGUUGGAACCACGGUAUAAGAAUAAGUUCGAAACAAAUGAACCAUAUAAUAUCUAUAAAGUAUAAAAAGAAACAUUAUUUAAAUAUUGGCAGGAGUUGUUGUGUUUGUCAUCGAUGUGCACAAGACGAAUGUGGGGAAGAUAUAGCUUUUUCACUGUUCCCAAAGCAAUUGAUCUGUACAAUAAAUGGAGAGAUGCAAUUGCUCUUACUGGGAUAGUUUUAAAAAAGACUCAAUAUAUUUGUCAAAAACAUUUCAACCCUGAUCAAAUACAGGAUCAAGUCACUAUCCGCGAUCAAUCUGGGAAGGUGUUGUUCCAAAAGUUUGCACAUACUGUGAUGUCUGUUGAUUGCAAUACCAUCCAACAAUGAGAAGAUAUUGCCCAAAUCAAUAAGUCAGCAGUGUGCAACGGAGGACCCUCUAGCCAUGCAGUACAGAAACGUAUAGCCAAGAUGUGCCUAUAAGGACAUGAGUAACAGAUGGCGACAGAACUCAUGUACAUUGACAAUUGGAACUGGUUCAACUUGUAAAUCGUGUGCAUCUCUUGAUAGUAUUUUGCGGAGGCAUUCGGCUAGCAAAGAAAGUUUUGAAAAGACAUGUUCAAGCUCAGGCUUUCAAAAAAAGUAGACGAAGGUUGUGUGGCAUAUCACAAGAAGUAAACAAAUUGCGUGACAAAUUAGCUCAUGUUGAGAAGAGUACAUUUGAAGAAAACUUGGGAAAAGUUGCAUCUUCCUGACGCUCAGAGCAACAACAUAUUACCCUUAUCAUCUCGAACGACUAUUCAUAAGCACCUCGGUUCCAUCUACCAGCAAUAGCUCAGCAUGAAAUUCUUCUGACUGAUGAAAUGAAAGUACAGGAAAGCAUUUCAAUCAAUGUAAAAUCUAUGACAUUUGAUGGACUCUGAAAUGGACAAAAAGAAGGUCAAGAAAGCGGCAUUUCAAAUGACUUGACAGAUUAUGCCUUAGUUUUUAUGUCUUCAUCCUUGGGGGGGGGGGGGGGGGGGGGGGAGUUUCACCAUUCAAUAGCCACAUUCCCUUGUAAAGGUUCUACAUCUCGGAGAAUACUUGCAUAGUUUGCCUUGAAAGCAAUUACAGAACUAGAAAAAGCAGGAGAAUAUGCAGAUAGUAUCAUUUGCGACGGUGCGACAACUAAUCGGAAGAUGUGGACAGAGUUUGGUGUUCAAGGAAACAUAGAUAAUGCCUGCCAUUUCUUUGAAAAUCCAAUGGAUGAACCUAGAAAAAUCUACAUAUUCUCGAAUACACCACAUUUGAUAAAAUGUGUGCGAAAUAGAUUACAGAUUAAUAAGAUUUUGAAGAUGGAUGGUAAUUUCAUUGAAUGACUGUAUAAAAACUUAUAUUACGAAAAUUGUAAGAACCGAGCCAAUCUCGGAGUGUGCUGAAAAGUAACUC